This 254-nucleotide ribosomal RNA is filed under the name uncultured bacterium. RNAcentral's name for it is "partial 16S ribosomal RNA". It matches the Rfam family "Bacterial small subunit ribosomal RNA", at positions 524 to 776 of the family's 1533-position model. The record is from RNAcentral.
UACGGAGGGUGCGAGCGUUGUCCGGAAUCAUUGGGCGUAAAGGGCGCGUAGGUGGCCCGGUCAGUUCGUGGUGAAAGCGCGGGGCUCAACCCUGCGUCGGCCAUGAAUACUGCCGCGGCUGGAGCACUGUAGAGGCAGGCGGAAUUCCGGGUGUAGCGGUGGAAUGCGUAGAGGUCCGGAAGAACACCGGUGGCGAAGGCGGCCUGCCGGGCAGUUGCUGACACUGAGGCGCGACAGCGUGGGGAGCAAACAGG